Long non-coding RNA from Ceratitis capitata (Mediterranean fruit fly), 865 nucleotides. RefSeq lists it as uncharacterized. The transcript has 4 exons. NCBI's taxonomy places the organism in Eukaryota, Metazoa, Arthropoda, Insecta, Diptera, Tephritidae. The record is from RefSeq and is a predicted model, not a curated record.
CCGUGACACCGUCUUCCUUCAACUCAAGCAGUAUACACUUGGCCGCUAGGAAAGCACGUUCGCAGCUAAAAAAAAAAAAGAGAAAAAAGUUUUCCUCUGAGCAUUUCCUAAUCACAGACAACAACUUCUCUCUCUCAAUUUGCGGAUGUAUUAUUUGAAAUAUUUGAAUGAUUUUCUCUUCAUCAACAGAGUUCAGCUCAUUUAGCUGAAAAUAAGAGAAAAAUAGUAUGCCCUGCACUAGCACCUGUCAACAUUUCGUCGCUAACUUGGGACUACAUCUCUCUUUCGGUCGGGUAGUAAAGACGGAAGGUAGGUCUCAAAUUAUUAAACGCCGGUACCUACCCAUUUAAUGUUGAUAAGGUCCAAGCGAAUGGCGAAUAUGCCGAGAUGCAGUAAGCAGUGUCGAGUCUCAAAUAGAAACUUUCGCCUUAAGAAUUCACUAAGCAACAAUGAGUCACAUUGGUCUCACGUAAAAGUAUCAAGUUUCGGAUCAGCUAUUUAGCAGGUCACAAGUAUCAAACCAAAUGAUUUAUUUGCUGCGUUGACGUAAUUAUCGUAUAAAACAAAACAAUGGAAGAGCAACUUUCAGCUUUUUUUACUAAUUUUGCUUGAAAUCGUUCGCGAAACAUCCCUAGACACAAUUUGGCCAGCCUUCGGACCAUGGAAGAUACAUUUUCGUUCGAAGGGGAAGUUCUAAGAAGCUUCAAGAAGUAAAACUUCAUGUCAAUCGUUUCAGGCAAACCGUAAUUCCAUUUGAGCUUCGCAAAAGUUAAAUUCUAACAUUUUUCUUACGAACGAAAGCCACAUUACAGGCUUAAGAGAUAGACAACAUUGUUGAAAAGAACUCCCUUUAUGUUAACCUACU